UUNAAAGUCUAGCCUGCCCAAUGAUUAUAAAAUUUAAUGGCCGCGGUAUUUUGACCGUGCUAAGGUAGCAUAAUAAUUAGUUUUUUAAUUGAGAACUGGAAUGAAUGGUUGGACAAGGAAAAUACUGUCUCAAGUUUAAUUUAAUUAGAAUUUUAUUUUUAAGUAAAAAAGCUUAAAUAUUUUUAAAAGACGAGAAGACCCUAUAGAGUUUUAUAUUAUGAAUUAUAGUUAAUUUAAGGAAUUAUUAUUUUUAUAUAAUUUAUAGUAUUUUAUUGGGGUGAUAGAAAAAUUAAAAUAACUUUUUUUAAAUUAUACCAUUAAUUUAUGAAUAAGUGAUCCAUUAUUAAUGAUUAUAAGAUUAAAUUACCUUAGGGAUAACAGCGUAAUUUUUUUUAAGAGUUCAUAUCGAAAGAAAAGAUUGCGACCUCGAUGUUGGAUUAAAA
This 443-nucleotide ribosomal RNA is filed under the name Trox sp. BMNH 793026. RNAcentral describes it as "partial 16S ribosomal RNA". It matches the Rfam family "Bacterial large subunit ribosomal RNA", at positions 1846 to 2542 of the family's 2925-position model. The record is from RNAcentral. Lineage: Eukaryota; Metazoa; Arthropoda; Insecta; Coleoptera; Trogidae.